ACGCUCGACACCUACGGGGAGGCAGCAGUAGGGAAUCUUCCACAAUGGACGCAAGUCUGAUGGAGCAACGCCGCGUGAGUGAAGAAGGUCUUCGGAUCGUAAAACUCUGUUGUUAGAGAAGAACACGAGUGAGAGUAACUGUUCAUUCGAUGACGGUAUCUAACCAGCAAGUCACGGCUAACUACGUGCCAGAAGCCGCGGUAAUCUGAGCGGGCUGGCAAGGC
RNAcentral lists this ribosomal RNA (224 nucleotides) under uncultured bacterium. RNAcentral's name for it is "partial 16S ribosomal RNA". It matches the Rfam family "Bacterial small subunit ribosomal RNA", at positions 328 to 539 of the family's 1533-position model. The record is from RNAcentral.